Molecule: non-coding RNA, 26 nt
Filed under: Rattus norvegicus (Norway rat)
Lineage: Eukaryota; Metazoa; Chordata; Mammalia; Rodentia; Muridae
Source: RNAcentral
UGUUAGCCUCAUGCAAAGACCCCAGG